Molecule: unclassified non-coding RNA, 4190 nt
Filed under: Hevea brasiliensis (rubber tree)
Lineage: Eukaryota; Viridiplantae; Streptophyta; Magnoliopsida; Malpighiales; Euphorbiaceae
Source: RNAcentral
GUAUAACUUCCUCACGCCAUACUAUCACCAUACGAUGUGAGAUCCAGAAAAGAAGAAGCAGCAGAAGCCUUUUAAGUACAAAAUCUUUGCCGUGGCCAGUGACGGCAAAGUUAUGAUUCCUGCAACAUGACAAUAAUGGGCAGAAUGGGUCAGAAGGACAUCGGCUGUAAAAAACAGGCCUAAGCUAGCAAAUACCGUCCUUUGAAUUUGAAAUUUGGGACCCCAUUAUGCCCAUUUGGGUCAUUAUCAUCACAACAAUGGUCCUAUCCUGUCCCACAUGUCUCCAUCACCCUCACCUACUGCCACACACCCAACUGCUCAAAAAUAUCCCCGUGACACCAUAUUCCAGCCUGGCCUUUUCCCAACGAAAUUGCCGUUUAAUACAAGGUACCUUCUGGGACAUUUCCUUAGUGCCAAUGCAUACAUUCUUCGUACAUUAGAGAGAGCUAUUUGCCAUUGACAAGGACUGCACUAAGCCUUUGUAACUUUCAAUCAUUCCAAAAAGACAAUACAGAUUAAACAUGUACACUCACCCACGGCAGCCAUUUCUUAUCUAGCUCCUCUCCUUGCUUUAAAUUUAAAAUCUACAUAAUUUAUUUAUGUAAAAACAAAAAUACUUAUACAAUUACUAAUCCUGCCACUAUCUGAAAGUCCCAGCAACUUAUUCCUUCUACGAAUUUAUUACUAAUCCUCCCAGUGCACUCGUUUCUGAAUGCUCAAGCAUCAAGCCUCCACUUGUAAAUUGCAAUAUGAAGAAUGAAAGACCAUUUCAAGAAAAUGUAAUAAAUCAGUAAAGAAUUUAGCAGCUACUAUCACCUCUACUCUCUAAAACUCAUAUUAUAUCAAAGCACUCUGCUAAUAAUCGAUCUUAAUCAGAUAUCUACUGGAAAUUAACUAGACAUCAGCCAAAUGUUACAUUGUUAGAAUCAGAGGAGACACUGCAUCAUUCACUAAUGAACCAUUCUCCCAUAUCAGUAUAUGAUCAGAUCUAAUCUAUAUGUUAGUUUAUAUGUAUAUAAUUAUACAACGCCUCAAACAUCCAGAAAUCUCACUCCAUUGGUCUGUCAGCUAGUUUCCGUCUCUUCGCAGCAUUGAUGAAUUCUGCAAUCACUCGUGCCUCAUCCAAUGGUUGCUGUGAAGCAAAGUGUUCUCGCACAACAUUAAGCAUUUGCUCCCUUGAUGAAUCAGAGUGAACACCCGCAAGGUUGAAUCGUCUGCAAUAUCUCCGUAGUGAUUCUGUUCCAAGUUUAGCCAAAUUCACCUUCAACUGGGGGGUAUGAGUAAUCGACUGAACAUCUCUGGAACUGCUAAAAUUUGUUGACUUUGCUAAUGGAAAGCAUGGCCUUGUUGAGCGAACUCUUGGCUUGCUAAUUUUAUGGAACUCACUGCCACUAGAGAAAUCAUGGUCUUUUUCACCAAUGUCAGAGCCACUGCUAGUAUCAAAAUCAUUAUCUUCAUCCACUUCAUUCCCAGUAGCAUGUUCCAACACACUCAAUGCAUUCCUUUGCAGCUUAACUUCAACACCAUUUUUUAGAACCUUGCAUGUCAAAAUCAUUACGGAUGCAUCAUCAUAAAUUUCAUAACCCACAACAAAGGGACAGAGAGCGAAAUAAAGCAGUAAAAAACAAGCAACUAGUGACCAACAAUCAAUCACAGAAAGUUCCAUCUCAUCAGAUACAACUUCCAAAAUAUGCAAAAUGAUACAUCUUUUCCUUUCUUCAACAAUAGAUUUCUGGUAUUCUGCAAUUCGCAAAACUUGAAGCAAAUAAAAAAAAAAAAAAACCAUUGAGAAGACAAUGGAUAUUAAAAAUUUAUCUAUUUUUAUUGUUCCUACUUCUUACUUCCUAUUGAAUUGAAGAGCUUUUCAAUUUUAAUUGUGACUCAUUUUAUAUGUCUAGAUGUGUCUAAGGAUUUGAAAGAAAUUAUGAAAUUCUUCAUUCAUUUUUAUUACUACCAUUCAACAAGAUAUAGUUGCAUGUUCUCUAAAUUAAGUUCCUAGUUCUUCAACAUUGCAAAACUUGAGGUCAAAUUUUUUCCAAUCGGGCAAGAAUGAUGCAGAUAAGGAAAAUAAAUUAUGUGAAUUUAAUUUUUCAUUGUAAACUUAAGAACUCUAGGUUUCUUUUAAUUAAGAAGUUCAUAUUAUUUAGGAUUUUAUUAUUAUAUAGGAAGUAGUAUUUUAUUUAGAAACUUUAAAUUGAUUUGGGAUUCUUCAAUUUCUUUUGGUUUAGUAUUCCUAAUAAGUUACUAAUAGGACUACUUGAUAAACAAUAAAUGGCAUAGGUAUUUUAUUGGGGAGAGUCUAUUAUGAUGUUUUUAUUGACAAUUAAAAAGAUUUUGGGAAUUAGUUUCCCUUAUUUAUUUGAGAAUUUGUUUCUCUAAAGAAUGUGUUUCUCUACCAGUUGAGGAGGAUCUGUUUCUGACCUCAAUUUGGGAUCAGAACUUGUUCUACAUCAAUAAAACUUGCUUAUUAAUGAUAAGUGCACUAAAAUAUAAGACUUGCUUAGUAAUAGAAGGAGAAUUGGAACAAAGUAAUAAAAAUAUAAGACUUGAUUAGUAAUAGAAGUGGAAUUGGAAAAAAGUAAGGCAUGCAAAGCUAAAUGGAUUCUAUCUGAUCACAGCAUAUACAAGCUUGAUGAUUGGCUAGCAAGCAUUUUGUCCUUUGCAUUGCAAUUAUCAAGUAGAAAGCAGGCAAAAUAUAACUGAUAAAGGGCAGCAUUGCCAAAGAUAAAAGAAACAAGCACAAGAAAUGUAGCUGGUCAAUUGAUCCAAAUGAAUACCGAUUCCAAGAAAGGACCCAAUGAAAAGAAUAGCUCUUGGUCCUAAACAUCAGUAUGUGACAAAUGGCAAACUGUAAAGAAAUAGAUUAAUAACAAGCUUCUUAAAAUAACAUGUUAAAUAUGAGCAAAGGUUAUGGCCAUUUCCCAGCCACAAAUAUAUCUCUUGAAAUGUGAUGGACAGCACAAAUGAUAAUCAAAUUGACAAGUUACUAUAUCUUUGGAUUUGAAAACUCAUCAGCACAUUUGUAGGUUUUAGCAAAAACUUUGAAUCACAUAGAAGAAAAUAACAUAAAUCAGACACAAUAAAUUAGAGAUUAAUUAAUUCAACAAUCACCCUUAAACAAGAUUACAGUCUCUCUAAACCAAAUCAACAAUCAUUCUUUUUAUUUUAUUUUACAUUUCCCUCUAUGUUCGAAAAGUUGCAUUAGAUAUGCCGCAAAAUACAGAUAACAAUUCUUCUUCAAAUUCAAAUUUUGUAAUUUUGUGAGACCGUGAAACUAGAUUCAAUUUUAAUGAAUAUAUCCCAUCAAACUUGAAGCUCCAGAAAAAAAUUUCAACACAGCACAUUGUUUAAGAACUGCAUUUCACUUUUCACAUACAUUCUCCUUGGAAUUUUGAUCUAACUGAUAGGCAAAAGAUCAUACCAAUGUGUACAAUCAGAUGUAUGAAAGAGCUUUGAGAAACUUUUUCAUCAGAAAUUAAUAAAGUAGUAAUUGCAGUAAGAUUAAAUUUACUUGAAGUACAUAAUAUAUACAGUGAAAAUUUUAGGAGUUACGCUGGAAAUUGAAAAACAAAAGGAACUAUAUCGAAGGCUAAAAACAGCUUUCAUUCAUCAACAGUGAAAUUAAGACCAAGCUUUACUGAUGUAUUCAAUUAUGUAUUUUCAUUUGUGAAGGUUUUAACAGCAAUAUGAAUAAAAAUUUAGCGAUUGUUAGUACCAGAUUAGCUACAAAAAACAUAGUCCCCCUUCAGUCUCCAAGACUAAGAAAUUGCUAAUAACAUGGUAACAUUCACAGAUGGUCCGUUGGCAUCAGCCACAAAUGAUAUAUCAUAUUCUAUAAUGGGGAUGCACAUAAAUAUCUAUCUUCUGCUACUCAGAUCUUUUUCCCUACUAUCUUUUUCUUUUUAACACGAUUUUGAGUACUAAAAUAUACAAGAACCACUCAAUCAAAUUGCUCAUAGAAACUAAAUCCAGCUCAAAACAUGUAUAUACCAAGCAUGCAAGUGCUUCAUCAAGGUAAGCGAAUGGAGAUCGACAGCAAAAUCCAAUUUAAUAUAAAUAAAGAUUAUAUCAGUAUUUUGCUUCAUAAUACAGAUUGUAAAAGUAUUUCACUGAACAAAAAGAAUAUCAAGAUCCUGCAUUGAAAGCAAAAACCCAACACAGGAAUCGAUUUUUCUUUUACUUCUUUAGAA